RNAcentral lists this ribosomal RNA (1242 nucleotides) under metagenome. Its description in RNAcentral is "bacterial LSU rRNA". It matches the Rfam family "Bacterial large subunit ribosomal RNA", at positions 1564 to 2815 of the family's 2925-position model. The record is from RNAcentral.
UGAAUACGAGACGCUAAGGCGUCGAAGUAGUGUAUGUCAUACUUCCAAGAAAAGCUUACACUGUCAUAGAUAAAAAACGCCUGUACCAUAACCGACACAGGUGGGUAGGUAGAGUAUACUAAGGGGCGCGAGAUAACUCUCUCUAAGGAACUCGGCAAAAUAACUCCGUAACUUCGGGAGAAGGAGUGCCUUAUUAUUAAGGCUGCAAUAACAAGAUCCACGCAACUGUUUAUCAAAAACACAGGUCUCCGCUAAGUCGUAAGACGAUGUAUGGGGGCUGACGCCUGCCCAGUGCCAGAAGGUUAAAGAAGUUGGUUAGCAUUUGCGAAGCUGAUAACUGAAGCCCUGGUGAACGGCGGCCGUAACAAUAACGGUCCUAAGGUAGCGAAAUUCCUUGUCGGGUAAGUUCCGACCCGCACGAAAGGCGUAAUGAUUUGGAUACUGUCUCGGAGAGGGGCUCGGUGAAAUAGACUUGUCUGUGAAGAUGCGGACUACCUGCACCAGGACAGAAAGACCCUAUGAAGCUUUACUGUAACUUGAAAUUGAAAUUGGACUUUAUUCGCGCAGCAUAGGUGGGAGGCGUUGAUUAUAAUCUUGUGGGAUUAUUGGAGCCAUCAGUGAGAUACCACUCUUGUAAUGUUAGGUUUCUAACUUUGAAUCAUUAUCUGGUCAAAGAACAGUUUCAGGCGGGCAGUUUGACUGGGGCGGUCGCCUCCUAAACGGUAACGGAGGCGUACAAAGGUUUCCUCUGAACGGUUAGAAAUCGUAUCUAGAGUGUAAAGGCAUAAGGAAGCUUGACUGUGAGACCUACAAGUCGAGCAGGGACGAAAGUCGGUCUUAGUGAUCUGACGGUACUGAGUGGAAAGGCCGUCACUCAACGGAUAAAAGUUACUCUAAGGAUAACAGGCUGAUCUCCCCCAAGAGUUCACAUCGACGGGGAGGUUUGGCACCUCGAUGUCGGCUCAUCGCAUCCUGGGGCGGUAGUACGUCCCAAGGGUUGGGCUGUUCGCCCAUGAAAGCGGUACGCGAGCUGGGUUCAGAACGUCGUGAGACAGUUCGGUCCAUAUCCGGUGUAGGCGUUAGAAUAUUGAGAGGAGCCUUCUUUAGUACGAGAGGACCGAGAAGGACAUACCUCUGGUGUACCAGUUAUCGUGCCAACGGUAAACGCUGGGUAGCUAUGUAUGGAGUGGAUAACCGCUGAAAGCAUCUAAGUGGGAAGCCCACCUCAAGAUAAGUAUUCUC